GGGUUGUGAGGUUAAGCGACUAAGCGUACACGGUGGAUGCCCUGGCAGUCAGAGGCGAUGAAGGACGUGCUAAUCUGCGAUAAGCGCCGGUAAGGUGAUAUGAACCGUUAUAACCGGCGAUUUCCGAAUGGGGAAACCCAGUGUGACUCGUCACACUAUCAUUAACUGAAUCCAUAGGUUAAUGAGGCGAACCGGGGGAACUGAAACAUCUAAGUACCCCGAGGAAAAGAAAUCAACCGAGAUUCCCCCAGUAGCGGCGAGCGAACGGGGAGGAGCCCAGAGCCUGAAUCAGCAUGUGUGUUAGUGGAAGCGUCUGGAAAGGCGCGCGAUACAGGGUGACAGCCCCGUACACAAAAGCGCAUGUGCUGUGAGCUCGAUGAGUAGGGCGGGACACGUGGUAUCCUGUCUGAAUAUGGGGGGACCAUCCUCCAAGGCUAAAUACUCCUGACUGACCGAUAGUGAACCAGUACCGUGAGGGAAAGGCGAAAAGAACCCCGGCGAGGGGAGUGAAAAAGAACCUGAAACCGUGUACGUACAAGCAGUGGGAGCCCCACCACUAAGCCAGUGGUGAACUCCACAUACGCAUCCUUUGCUGAGGAUACGGUUAACGGAGCGAAAGCGACGUUCAACCUCAAAAGAAGCAGAGGGGGCUUAGUGGUGGGGUGACUGCGUACCUUUUGUAUAAUGGGUCAGCGACUUAUAUUCUGUAGCAAGGUUAACCGCAUAGGGGAGCCGUAGGGAAACCGAGUCUUAACCGGGCGUUAAGUUGCAGGGUAUAGACCCGAAACCCGGUGAUCUAGCCAUGGGCAGGUUGAAGGUUGGGUAACACUAACUGGAGGACCGAACCGACUAAUGUUGAAAAAUUAGCGGAUGACCUGUGGCUGGGGGUGAAAGGCCAAUCAAACCGGGAGAUAGCUGGUUCUCCCCGAAAGCUAUUUAGGUAGCGCCUCGUGAACUCAUCUCCGGGGGUAGAGCACUGUUUCGGCUAGGGGGCCAUCCCGGCUUACCAACCCGAUGCAAACUGCGAAUACCGAAGAAUGUUAUCACGGGAGACACACGGCGGGUGCUAACGUCCGUCGUGAAGAGGGAAACAACCCAGACCGCCAGCUAAGGUCCCAAAGUCAUGGUUAAGUGGGAAACGAUGUGGGAAGGCACAGACAGCCAGGAUGUUGGCUUAGAAGCAGCCAUCAUUUAAAGAAAGCGUAAUAGCUCACUGGUCGAGUCGGCCUGCGCGGAAGAUGUAACGGGGCUAAACCAUGCACCGAAGCUGCGGCAGCGACACUAUGUGUUGUUGGGUAGGGGAGCGUUCUGUAAGCCGUUGAAGGUGUCCUGUGAGGGAUGCUGGAGGUAUCAGAAGUGCGAAUGCUGACAUAAGUAACGAUAAUGCGGGUGAAAAACCCGCACGCCGGAAGACCAAGGGUUCCUGUCCAACGUUAAUCGGGGCAGGGUGAGUCGACCCCUAAGGCGAGGCCGAAAGGCGUAGUCGAUGGGAAACAGGUUAAUAUUCCUGUACUUGGUGUUACUGCGAAGGGGGGACGGAGAAGGCUAUGUUGGCCGGGCGACGGUUGUCCCGGUUUAAGCGUGUAGGUGUGUGUUCCAGGUAAAUCCGGUUCACUUUAACACUGAGGCGUGAUGACGAGGCACUACGGUGCUGAAGUGACAAAUGCCCUGCUUCCAGGAAAAGCCUCUAAGCAUCAGGUAACACGAAAUCGUACCCCAAACCGACACAGGUGGUCAGGUAGAGAAUACCAAGGCGCUUGAGAGAACUCGGGUGAAGGAACUAGGCAAAAUGGUGCCGUAACUUCGGGAGAAGGCACGCUGAUAUGUAGGUGAAGCGGUUUACCCGUGGAGCUGAAAUCAGUCGAAGAUACCAGCUGGCUGCAACUGUUUAUUAAAAACACAGCACUGUGCAAACACGAAAGUGGACGUAUACGGUGUGACGCCUGCCCGGUGCCGGAAGGUUAAUUGAUGGGGUUAUCCGUAAGGAGAAGCUCUUGAUCGAAGCCCCGGUAAACGGCGGCCGUAACUAUAACGGUCCUAAGGUAGCGAAAUUCCUUGUCGGGUAAGUUCCGACCUGCACGAAUGGCGUAAUGAUGGCCAGGCUGUCUCCACCCGAGACUCAGUGAAAUUGAACUCGCUGUGAAGAUGCAGUGUACCCGCGGCAAGACGGAAAGACCCCGUGAACCUUUACUAUAGCUUGACACUGAACACUGGUCCUUGAUGUGUAGGAUAGGUGGGAGGCUUUGAAGUGUGGACGCCAGUCUGCAUGGAGCCAUCCUUGAAAUACCACCCUUUAAUGGCUGGUGUUCUAACGUGGGCCCCUAAUCGGGGUUGCGGACAGUGUCUGGUGGGUAGUUUGACUGGGGCGGUCUCCUCCCAAAGAGUAACGGAGGAGCACGAAGGUUAGCUAAUCCUGGUCGGACAUCAGGAGGUUAGUGCAAAGGCAUAAGCUAGCUUGACUGCGAGAGUGACGGCUCGAGCAGGUGCGAAAGCAGGUC
Molecule: ribosomal RNA, 2498 nt
Filed under: Salmonella enterica
Lineage: Bacteria; Pseudomonadati; Pseudomonadota; Gammaproteobacteria; Enterobacterales; Enterobacteriaceae
Also listed under: 1 other name
Description: partial 23S ribosomal RNA
Rfam family: Bacterial large subunit ribosomal RNA
Source: RNAcentral